UACGUAGGCAGCAAGCGUUAUUCGGAUUCACUGGGCGUAAAGGGUGCGCAGGCGGUUGGGUGUGUCAGAUGUGAAAUCCCGAGGCUUAACCUCGGAACUGCGUCUGAAACUACUCGACUAGAGUACUGGAGAGGGAAACGGAAUUCACGGUGUAGCAGUGAAAUGCGUAGAUAUCGUGAGGAACACCAGAGGCGAAGGCGGUUUCCUGGACAGUUACUGACGCUCAGGCACGAAAGCAUGGGGAGCAAAAGGG
RNAcentral lists this ribosomal RNA (253 nucleotides) under uncultured bacterium. RNAcentral describes it as "partial 16S ribosomal RNA". It matches the Rfam family "Bacterial small subunit ribosomal RNA", at positions 524 to 776 of the family's 1533-position model. The record is from RNAcentral.